Molecule: long non-coding RNA, 261 nt
Filed under: Lathyrus oleraceus (garden pea)
Lineage: Eukaryota; Viridiplantae; Streptophyta; Magnoliopsida; Fabales; Fabaceae
Description: Pisum sativum (pea) long non-coding RNA (PSAT_LNC041490)
Source: RNAcentral
AAGAUGAUGUUGAAGGGAUUCCUGACGAGAUUUCCCGACUUCUUGAGCAAGAAAAGAAGAACACUCAGCUGCAUCUCAAGAAUCAGCAGAACAGCCAACUGGGGCAUUAUCAAAAAGAAGAAAAAAAAAGAAAAAAAGAGGAGGGUGCAAAAUCCAAGAAAAAAAUCAAAAGAAAUCAAAAGAAAUCAAAAGCAAAAUCAAAAGAAAACAAAAGAAAAAUAGCACCCUCAAAGUCCCAAGUUGGCUGAUGUUGAAUUCGAU